This 513-nucleotide ribosomal RNA is filed under the name uncultured bacterium. Its description in RNAcentral is "partial 16S ribosomal RNA". It matches the Rfam family "Bacterial small subunit ribosomal RNA", at positions 28 to 507 of the family's 1533-position model. The record is from RNAcentral.
GACGAACGCUGGCGGCGUGCUUAACACAUGCAAGUCGAACGAAAAGAGGGAAAUAGCUUGCUCUUUCCGGAAUUGAGUGGCAAACGGGUGAUUAACACGUAAACAACCUUCCUUCAGGAUGGGGACAACAGACGGAAACGACUGCUAAUACCGAAUAAGUUCCAAGGGCCGCAUUGCCCAUGGCAGAAAAGGUGGCCUCUACCUGUAAGCUAUCGCCUGAAGAGGGGUUUGCGUCUGAUUAGCUGGUUGGAGGGGUAACGGCCCACCAAGGCGACGAUCAGGAGACGGUCUGGGAGGAAGAACGGCCAAAAUGGGAAUGAGAAAAGGGCCAGAAUCCUAAGGGAGGGAGCAGUGGGGAAUCAUCCGAAAUGGGCGAAAGCCUGACGGAGCAACGCCGCGUGAGUGAUGACGGCCUUCGGGUUGUAAAACUAUGUGAUCCGGGACGAAAAGGCAGAGAGCGAAGAACAAACUGCAUUGACGGAACCGGAAAAGCAAGCCACGGCUAACUACGUG